This 76-nucleotide transfer RNA is filed under the name bacterium MnTg02. RNAcentral's name for it is "tRNA-Val". It matches the Rfam family "tRNA". Rfam says of the family: Transfer RNA (tRNA) molecules are approximately 80 nucleotides in length. Their secondary structure includes four short double-helical elements and three loops (D, anti-codon, and T loops). RNAcentral also lists the same sequence under 1 other name. The record is from RNAcentral.
GGGCGGUUAGCUCAGUUGGAAGAGCACCUGGUUUACACCCAGGGGGUCGGCAGUUCGAGCCUGUCACCGCCCACCA